RNAcentral lists this ribosomal RNA (717 nucleotides) under uncultured bacterium. RNAcentral describes it as "bacterial SSU rRNA". It matches the Rfam family "Bacterial small subunit ribosomal RNA", at positions 125 to 818 of the family's 1533-position model. The record is from RNAcentral.
CCUACCCAUAAGAGGGGGAUAACAGUUGGAAACGACUGCUAAUACCGCAUAAGCUAUUGAGGUCGCAUGACCUAAAUAGUAAAGGUGGCGCCUGUUUACAGGCUAUCACUUAUGGAUGGGCCCGCGUCUGAUUAGCUAGUUGGUGGGGUAGAAGCCUACCAAGGCAACGAUCAGUAGCCGGCCUGAGAGGGUGGACGGCCACACUGGGACUGAGACACGGCCCAGACUCCUACGGGAGGCAGCAGUGGGGAAUAUUGCGCAAUGGGGGAAACCCUGACGCAGCGACGCCGCGUGAGCGAUGAAGGCCUUAGGGUCGUAAAGCUCUGUUGUAAGGGACGAAUGUGUAUCUGGCGAACAGUCAGAUAAAGUGACGGUACCUUACCAGCAAGCCCCGGCUAACUACGUGCCAGCAGCCGCGGUAAGACGUAGGGGGCGAGCGUUGUCCGGAAUUACUGGGCGUAAAGAGCACGUAGGCGGAUAAUUAAGUCAGAUGUGAAAGACCGGGGCCCAACCUCGGGGUUGCAUCUGAAACUGGAUAUCUUGAGGGCAGGAGAGGAAAGUGGAAUUCCUGGUGUAGCGGUGAAAUGCGUAGAAAUCAGGAGGAAUACCAGUGGCGAAGGCGACUUUCUGGACUGACCCUGACGCUGAGGUGCGAAAGCGUGGGUAGCAAACAGGAUUAAAUACCCUGGUAUUCCACGCUGUAAACGAUGGAUACUA